GAUGAACGCUGGCGGCGUGCCUAAUACAUGCAAGUCGAGCGAACCACUUCGGUGGUGAGCGGCGAACGGGUGAGUAACACGUAGGUGAUCUGCCCAUCAGACGGGACGAACGAUUGGAACGAAUCGCUAAUACCGGAUAGGACGAAAGUUUAAAGGUUAGCUUCUGGCACCGCUGAUGGAUGAGCCUCGCAGCGCAUUAGCUAGUUGGUAGGGUAAAGGCCUACCAAGGCGACGAUGCGUAGCCGACCUGAGAGGGUGAACGGCCACACUGGGACGUGAGACACGGCCCAGACUCCUACGGGAGGCAGCAGUAGGGAAUCUUCGGCAAUGGGCGAAAGCCUGACCGAGCAACGCCGCGUGAAUGAUGAAGGGCCUUUCGGGUUGU
Molecule: ribosomal RNA, 385 nt
Filed under: uncultured bacterium
Lineage: Bacteria
Description: bacterial SSU rRNA
Rfam family: Bacterial small subunit ribosomal RNA
Source: RNAcentral